This 602-nucleotide long non-coding RNA is filed under the name Coffea arabica (coffee). Its description in RNAcentral is "long non-coding RNA (CARA_LNC006872)". Lineage: Eukaryota; Viridiplantae; Streptophyta; Magnoliopsida; Gentianales; Rubiaceae. The record is from RNAcentral.
GAUUUUGAAGCUUCAUAUUCAAUCACAUCAUAGGGGAGUAUUACUUUCUUUAUCUUGAUUUUCCUUUUUACACAUUGAGGACAAUGUGUAUGUUAAGUGUGGGGGGAGAAUUGAGAUUAUAUAUAUUGUAUGUGAUUAAAUUAUUAGUUGCAAAUAUUGGACUUGUGUUAAAAUUCAAAAUUUUUCUAAAAUCUUGUCCAAAAUUGCAAACUUGCCCCAAAAAGUUUCAUAUUUUUUCGAUUUUAUCCAAGGGGUAACAAGUUCCAUACCAUUAGUAGUUCAAAUUCCUUCUACAUUUGAGAUAAAUAUAUAUGAUUUGGAAACUUCUUUUCUCAUUUAACUUGGAAAUGACUAUUAUGUGAUUAUAAUUUUGCAUUUGUAGGAAAAUAUAUCUUGUGAAGUGGAGAAAAUUAUGCCUAUAUUUUUUUUGCAUAUUUGAUGAAAUUUUCUUCUCUUUAUUGGAUUUUAUAAGUUAAGUGAUAAAUAUGGUCAAUAAGUGCAAUACUCUUCUCAUGAUUAUUUUUUUAGAAACUUAUUAUUCUCUUUGCUAUAAAAAAAAAAGAAAAAAAAAUGAUGAAAAAUGAAAAAAAAAAGAAAAAAGA